ACUCUGGCUUCUCUUCAGAUCGCAUAAAU
This 29-nucleotide small nuclear RNA is filed under the name Cervus elaphus hippelaphus. The record is from RNAcentral. Lineage: Eukaryota; Metazoa; Chordata; Mammalia; Artiodactyla; Cervidae.